RNAcentral lists this ribosomal RNA (253 nucleotides) under uncultured bacterium. Its description in RNAcentral is "partial 16S ribosomal RNA". It matches the Rfam family "Bacterial small subunit ribosomal RNA", at positions 524 to 776 of the family's 1533-position model. The record is from RNAcentral.
UACGGGGGGGGCAAGCGUUGUUCGGAAUUACUGGGCGUAAAGGGCUCGUAGGCGGCCAACUAAGUCAGACGUGAAAUCCCCAGGCUCAACCUGGGAACUGCGUCUGAUACUGGAUGGCUUGAAUCCGGGAGAGGGAUGCAGAAUUCCAGGUGUAGCGGUGAAAUGCGCAGAUAUCGGGAGGAACACCGGUGGCGAAGGCGGUUCUCUGGGCCUGUACUGACGCUGAGGAGCGAAAGCGUGGGGAGCGAACAGG